GCUGAAAACACCAGUUCUCAUUUAAUCACUGAAGUUAAGCAGUGUCAAGCUUGGUCAGUACUUAGAUGGGGGACUGCUUGGAAACUCAG
Acanthosepion pharaonis is the source of this 89-nucleotide non-coding RNA. NCBI's taxonomy places the organism in Eukaryota, Metazoa, Mollusca, Cephalopoda, Sepiida, Sepiidae. The record is from the annotation of a GenBank genome assembly.